AGCAGCCGCGGUAAUUCCAGCUCCAAUAGCGUAUAUUAAAGUUGUUGCAGUUAAAAAGCUCGUAGUUGAAUUUCGAGACCGGUUUAUUGGUCGUGCUUUUGUACGUACUGGUAUUAUUGGUUUCUCCUUUCUGACGAAUCUUAAUGCCAUUAAUUUGGUGUUUUGGGGAAUCAGGACUGUUACUUUGAAAAAAUUAGAGUGUUUAAAGCAGGCUCACGCUUGAAUACAUUAGCAUGGAAUAACGGAAUAGGACGUUUGAUUCUAUUUUGUUGGUUUCUAGGAUCGACGUAAUGAUUAAUAGGGAUAGUUGGGGGCAUUAGUAUUCAAUUGUCAGAGGUGAAAUUCUUGGAUUUAUUGAAGACUAACUACUGCGAAAGCAUUUGCCAAGGAUGUUUUCAUUAAUCAAGAACGAAAGUUAGGGGAUCGAAGACGAUCAGAUACCGUCGUAGUCUUAAACCAUAAACUAUGCCGACUA
Molecule: ribosomal RNA, 475 nt
Filed under: uncultured Glomus
Lineage: Eukaryota; Fungi; Glomeromycota; Glomeromycetes; Glomerales; Glomeraceae
Description: SSU rRNA
Rfam family: Eukaryotic small subunit ribosomal RNA
Source: RNAcentral